Molecule: long non-coding RNA, 3983 nt
Filed under: Sorghum bicolor (sorghum)
Lineage: Eukaryota; Viridiplantae; Streptophyta; Magnoliopsida; Poales; Poaceae
Description: long non-coding RNA (SBIC_LNC016849)
Source: RNAcentral
AGCAAAGUAGCCGUGACUAGAAAUUAAAGGGUUCGGAGGAAUUAAUAGAAUGGCGACCAGCAAGAAGAUGGCUGUGGUGACGAUGGUGUUCAUGGCUGCCGUGCUGCUGCUGGCAACUGUAGAGUCGGCGGCGGCGGCGGCGGCGACGGCGACUGCCACUGCCACUGCCACGACCUCCGACUCCAGCCAGCAGCUGGGGCUGGGGGCAACAAGAAAGCUACUCCAGAUCGUCGGCGACACAUGCGGAGGAAAUGAUUGUUCUGAUGAUUUUCCUCUAGGUUGUUGCGCUGGCAGCCCUGUUUGUAGGGGGAUAUGCUCGACCCUUCUCUAGUACUGUAGCUUUCACGGCCGGCCGGGUUAUUAUGUCCAUCACGCAUUGCAUUGCAUGCCACAAUAAUAAUCAUGCAUGCAUGUCCCUAAUAAAUAAGUGUUGUCAGUUCUGAGACUACGUAGGUUCCUGCUGGAUAUGCAUGCUGCCGGCAGCUAGAGCUAGCAUAUAUAUGCUCUCUCAUAUCAGUGUGAUGUUCAACAGUUGCCGUACGUGUCUUAUUUUACUUUUCAGCAGUUACUGUACCCGCGAGUCUGUACGUAGUUGUCUGUUGAAUGAAUAAUAAAGCAAUGCAGUUGUUGAUGGCGUAAUUUGGUUGACCCACAUUUGAUGCUCAAUUCGGUUUUAUAGCCUAUUUGUUUGUUAGCCGAUGAAAACCUGAUAUAUCCAAUGGCCAGGCGGUUAAUUUGUGAACAAGAUAAUCGAUCAUUAACAAGUAUUUCCAUUAAUCUACUAGCUACUCAAGCAGCAGGAUUUAUAAAGAGCAGGUUUGGCGGUGUGGCAAGGAAGGACGCAUCACUGUCAGGUCAUCAGGCGCAUGCAGCAAGUUAUCUCGUACAUACGCCCGGCCAAAUGUGCAAAGCUUAAUUUGCAUGUGGUAUAUUGGUGUAACAAAUAUCAUGUUUCUAUGAUCCUUCUAUUUAUUGUAUUUUGCUGAUGUGAUAUUGUAUUUAUCGAAGAAAAGAGAGUACAAACACGUUUCCGUCUAUAGAUCGUGUAUCCUUGGCUAAUUCUGAACGUUGAUUGAAACAUGCAUGCUGCAGCAACUGACAUAUAUGUGUUUCUGUUUUUGUUUACUAACGCUCUGUUCGCCCGCUGAUUUGUUGAUGCAAAUGCAUAUGCAUUGUUGAUGCAAAGACCAAAUUAAAAACAUUAAUUGUGACUCACAUUCAUUAAAACAGUGAUAGAUAUUUUGCCUGCAUCAAUCAUAUCAGUGUAAGAAAAGUUUGUCAUAUGUUGGGCUAUGCCAUGCUAUUCAUAUUGUUGUUCCCAUAUCCACGAGGCACUACCAUAUUCGUCUCCUUUGUUGAUUGCCGCGGGCACUCCGCAAAGUCACAAAUGCACUCCGUAAAGACUUUGUCGAGUACCACAUUUGACAAAAAGUACUCGCCAAAGAUUUUAUCGGCAAAGAGCUCUUUGCUGAGUUCUUUUUGUUGGAUAAUCGGCAAAGACUUUGCCAAAUACUAAAAAAACAUUUGGCAAAAUAAAAAACCAAAAAACCCAAAAAAAAAAUAUUUCGGAGAGGCCCCACCAAUCAGUGCCCAUCCGAUGCAAGUUACGGCAUUUUUUGGUUCACGCUCUAUGCAGCCGGUGAGAUUCAAACCGGCAACCUUCCUCUCACGUAUCUCCCCCUCUAACCACGACAACACACUACCACUUAUGUCUAUAAUCCGUUUUGGUUCUCCACGUAUUAUACCAAACCAAAUGUAAAUUAAUUAUUUGAGGCCCUAAAUGAAUUUAAAUCAAAAACUUGUCAACUAUCAAGUUUCAUAACUUUUCGAGAUCUAUAAUUUUUAUUUAGGAAGUUUCUCCAUCCGAGGUCUUUUACAAAAUUUGAAUUUCAAGUUUAAGAAAUUCAAACGUAGUUUUAUAUGGCUAGAUAAUUUCAAAUGAAAAAGUUGUCAACUAUAAAGUUUCAUAACUUUUUGAGAUCUACAUUUUUAUUUAUGUUAUUUUUCCAUCCAAGGUCGUUUGAUAAAUUUAAGUUUGAAAUUCAAACGUAAUUUUACAUGACAAGAUGAACUCAAAUGAAAAGGUUGUCAACUACAAAGUUUUAUAACUUUUUGGGAUCUACAUAUUUCAUUUUGGUUGUUUUUCUAUCCGAAGUCAUUUAAAAAAUUCAAAUUUUAAAAUUCAAACGUAGUUUGUAUGACAAGGUGAACUCAAAUGAAAUAAUUGCCAACUAUAAAUUCUAUAACUUCUCAAGAUCUACAAAAUUUAUUUUGGUUAUUGAUCAUUUGUUCAUCUGACAUGGUGGUUCUAACAUUGUUCACAAAUCUUAUAUAUCUCUCUUAUAGUUUUAUGAAACUUAUGAGAGAGAUGUAGAUUUUGUGAGCAACGUUACUAUUGCUUUGUCAAAUGAAGAAAUAACCAAAGUAAAAGUUGUAGAUCUUGAAAACUUAUACAACGUUGUAGUAAACAAAGCUUUUUUUAUUUGAAUUAAUUUACUACUUCAAAAUAUGCUUUGAAGCAGCUCUUUGACGAGUGCAAAAAGAAAACAUUCGGCAUUGCAAUUGUUUGCCGAGUGCAAAAAAAAAUUACUUGACAGACUCUUAUAUAUCCGAGUGCAAAAAAAAAAACACUUAGCAAACAAGCUCUUUGCCGAUUUUUUUUUUUUUUUUUUUUUUGCACUCGAUAAUAUAAUUUAGCACUAUAAGCAAAGACAAGAUUUCCAGUAGCGAGAGAAGAGCACAAAAACUUGCAUGCCAAUCAACGAACUGAAGGAAGCACAACACGAAGCAUCGGCACAUAGAGAUCAAUUAUCAUCUCGGGCUUGUUUGGACGGCGCCUGCUAUACACGGCGCUGCCGUGCCGCAACGCAACUGCGGCUGCGCCAAAUGUCUGGCGUUGAAAACACUCACCGCACGUUUGGCAAGAUGUGGCAGCAAAUUUAAACUACGUUGCUAUGAUUUUAUUGUGGCACGCCUUAACUCUGUCGCCAGCUCAAAGUUCUUCAAAUUUAUAUAUGGCGCUCUAGUUACGGCGAAGUGUGGCAACCGAACCAAACAAGCCCGUAAUCCUAGACUGACGGGUCACACCAAGACCCCUCGCUCGGCAAUACGCUGAAAUAUCAAAUAUGUAUGCUCCAUAUAGACGAUAUCAAUGGAAACAAGUUGCAUUAUAUUGAUGGAAGAAAUAACUGCUGGCUGUCAAGUUAAUUGAUCGAGAUGCAGCUGUUCGCAAUAUGCUGAAAUGCAGCUAGCUGUCUAGCUAUAUAAGAAGCAUUGUAGGGGUAGUGGAGCCUCCCACCCACAUACGUCUAGCUAGUAUAUCUCAUCUGUGUGGAAGCUUGCAAGCAAAGUAGCCGUGACUGGAAAUUAUUAAAGGGUUCGGAGGAAUUAAUAGAAUGGCGACCAGCAAGAAGAUGGCUGUGGUGACGAUGGUGUUCAUGGCUGCCGUGCUGCUGGUGGCAACUGUAGAGUCGGCGGCGGCGGCGGCGGCGACGGCGACGGCGAGUGCCACUGCCACGACCUCCGACUCCAGCCAGCAGCUGGGGCUGGGGGCAACAAGAAAGCUACUCCAGAUCGUCGGCGACACAUGCGGAGGAAAUGGUUGUUCUGAUGAUUUUCCUCUAGGUUGUUGCGCUGGCAGCCCUGUUUGUAGGGGGAUAUGCUCGACCCUUCUCUAGUACUGUAGCUUUCACGGCCGGCCGGGUUAUUAUGUCCAUCACGCAUUGCAUUGCAUGCCACAAUAAUAAUCAUGCAUGCAUGUCCCUAAUAAAUAAGUGUUGUCAGUUCUGAGACUACGUAGGUUCCUGCUGGAUAUGCAUGCUGCCGGCAGCUAGAGCUAGCAUAUAUAUGCUCUCUCAUAUCAGUGUGAUGUUCAACAGUUGCCGUACGUAUCUUAUUUUACUUUCAGCAGUUACUGUACCCGCGAGUCUGUACGUAGUUGUCUGUUGAAUGAAUAAUAAAGCAAUGCAGUUGUUGAUGGCGUA